GCAGGGAGCCGGUCCGCCGCCGGAACGGGAGCCUGGGUGUGCGUGUGGAGUCGGGACUCGUGGGAGACGGUCGCGAUGAACACGGUGCUGUCGAGGGCGAACUCGCUGUUCGCCUUCUCGCUGAGCGUGAUGGCGGCGCUCACCUUCGGCUGCUUCAUCACCACCGCCUUCAAAGACAGGAGCGUCCCGGUGCGGCUGCACGUCUCGCGGAUCAUGCUAAAAAAUGUAGAAGAUUUCACUGGACCUAGAGAAAGAAGUGAUCUGGGAUUUAUCACAUUUGAUAUAACUGCUGAUCUAGAGAAUAUAUUUGAUUGGAAUGUUAAGCAGUUGUUUCUUUAUUUAUCAGCAGAAUAUUCAACAAAAAAUAAUGCUCUGAACCAAGUUGUCCUAUGGGACAAGAUUGUUUUGAGAGGUGAUAAUCCGAAGCUGCUGCUGAAAGAUAUGAAAACAAAAUAUUUUUUCUUUGACGAUGGAAAUGGUCUCAAGUGAGCAAUUCUUGGUCUUUUUUUUACAUUUAAUAGGAGGUGAAAAAGAGAGAAAGAUGUAUUUUUAUUUUAAAGAAAAAUACUUGAGAGUAAAAGGAGAAAAA
RNAcentral lists this small RNA (589 nucleotides) under Pongo abelii (Sumatran orangutan). RNAcentral's name for it is "retained intron". Lineage: Eukaryota; Metazoa; Chordata; Mammalia; Primates; Hominidae. The record is from RNAcentral.